UAUAUUUGAAAUGUCCCCUACAACAGAACCAACGAAACCUGUUUAAUAAGCGAUUUAUCAUUGUUAGUCGUUUUAUAGGUAUCUUGGAUGCGAAGAGUGGAAAAGGUUUUGUAAAUUAUGUUCCACGCUUACAAAUGAGAAAUGUUUCUUUGUGCGAUUAAUGUUUCAUCUGGACAUACAUGCAAUUUAUUUGUACAUGUUUAUUUAUACACAGCGUAGAUAAAAAUGUGGGCCAGCCUUAACAGAGACACACAACAUUUAUCGUUUAAAUAGGUUGUAAUUUGUUAAGUUUAUUAAGUUUAUUAUACAACAACUGGUGGAGCGUGAAAGUUCAAAAACACAAUAUCGUCUAAAAAUUGAAACGAGUAAUGUCAUUUGAAAUUUGAAAUUGACGAUAAUCACGAUGAUUAGAUAACAUAGAUUUACUGCACAUAUAUUGCUCGCUUUUCGCGUUUCCGAGGGAAAAUAGUUUUAAACGAUAUUUUACGAUCGAAUAAAUACUUCUCGCAUUGCGUUUAUCUUUGUUAACGCUAUUACAAAAUUGAUUGCAAAUCGCGCAUUGAUCACCUUCAGAAACAUAAAGCGACAAAGGAUCGUGACAGUGACAAAUGGAUCGUUGUUCUUAAAAUAUAUCUCUGUGUACGCUAAAUGCGAUAAAUUUGUUGCACAUAAAAGCUCAAGUUUCAUGUGCAAUAUAUAUAUAUUCUCUGUUCUUCGGGACUUCGAUCCUGCUUCUGUCAUUAAUUUUUACUUUCGUUACUAAUAAAAACGCCUAUGAACUCCAAAGGCCCAAACCACGAGUAUCAUGUUGACUAAGGUGUAAAUUUAAAAUAUAAAAUGUGCAAUGAUUACGUGUUUCCAUUUAAAACAAUACCUGUACUUCUGAUAAAAACACAAACACAAAAAAAUCAGAAACAUCAAAUCCUUCUUACAUUAAAAAACUACCUCCUCCAAGAAACUUCUCUUCCUUAGUCAACUACUCAAACAUUCCGCAACCCACAGCGCGCACAAUCGAUCCAAGCCACCCUCGUAAACCGCCUACACGUUAACCUUGCAUCCCUCUAGUCGACGCUCGUAAUGCCAGAGAAAGAAAAAGGAAGAAAGUGGUGCGAUAAACCGUAGACUAGACUCCCUCACGCGAUUAAAAGUCGCCAGAAGAAAUCGAAGAGGGAGAGAGAGAGAGAGAGAGAAACAUUGUUUGUUUUCUGCGACGAUCCGCUGUGUUUGGCACGGUUUUAGGGGUGGGAGGUAGCGUUGCGGGUAAGAGGGCGGCUUUUGCGCAUAAUCCUAUGACCUCUUUAGCGCGACGAUCCUUCGAAAAGGAUACACGGAAUGCGCUAUCAAUUCCACCUUCUCCCGUCGGCGUUUUCGAAGGACUGUUUGGCCGUGUUCCAACGCACGAACCAGCAGAAAGCUCGCAGUCAGAGGCGACCAUCCGCGACUUUUCGCCGAUCCUUAUUGGCUUAGCAUAGUUUCGUCGCGAUGCCGUCUCGGUCCGCGUGAUUCUUCCUCUUCCGUACGCUCGUCACAGAGUGAUUUACAUCGAGAACAACUUCCUCGACGGAACACGCUUCUGAGUUUCGUCCUUUCAUUUUCUCUCCUCUGUUUUGUAUCCGAUGUUCUUCUUGUCUGGAAAUUGAUGCGAGAAAGGCUGAGAGUUAGAAGAAGAGAAUUUUCGCCAUUCCACGCCGAUCGAGGAGCGUAAAUGUUGAACCGUUGCACUCGACACGCACCAAGAUUUGUUUGUGCGGAGAACGCGUGCUGAGGUCGCGUCAGCACGACCGCGGAACCAGCCAGGAAAGACGGUACAAACGAAGCCAUCGUCGAUCACCGAGUAGCGGUCGCCAGCACGG
Bombus pascuorum is the source of this 1853-nucleotide long non-coding RNA. RefSeq lists it as uncharacterized. The transcript has 2 exons. NCBI's taxonomy places the organism in Eukaryota, Metazoa, Arthropoda, Insecta, Hymenoptera, Apidae. The record is from RefSeq and is a predicted model, not a curated record.